Molecule: ribosomal RNA, 305 nt
Filed under: uncultured bacterium
Lineage: Bacteria
Description: bacterial SSU rRNA
Rfam family: Bacterial small subunit ribosomal RNA
Source: RNAcentral
GCCUACGGGGGGCAGCAGUCGAGAAUCAUUCCCAAUGGGGGAAACCCUGAUGGUGCGACGCCGCGUGGGGGAAUGAAGGUCUUCGGAUUGUAGACCCCUGUCAUGUGGGAGCAAAUUAAAAAGAUAGUACCACAAGAGGAAGAGACGGCUAACUCUGUGCCAGCAGCCGCGGUAAUACAGAGGUCUCAAGCGUUGUUCGGAAUCACUGGGCGUAAAGCGUGCGUAGGCUGUUUCGUAAGUCGUGUGUGAAAGGCGCGGGCUCAACCCGCGGACGCCACAUGAUACUGCGAGACUAGAGUGAUGGG